This 253-nucleotide ribosomal RNA is filed under the name uncultured bacterium. RNAcentral describes it as "partial 16S ribosomal RNA". It matches the Rfam family "Bacterial small subunit ribosomal RNA", at positions 524 to 776 of the family's 1533-position model. The record is from RNAcentral.
UACGAAGGAUCCAAGCGUUAUCCGGAUUUAUUGGGUUUAAAGGGUGCGUAGGUGGAUUGAUUAGUCAGUGGUGAAAGCCUGCAGCUUAACUGCAGAACUGCCAUUGAUACUGUCAAUCUUGAGUACAAUUGAGGUGGGCGGAAUGUGUCAUGUAGCGGUGAAAUGCUUAGAUAUGACACAGAACACCAAUUGCGAAGGCAGCUCACUAAACUGUAACUGACACUGAGGCACGAAAGCGUGGGUAGCAAACAGG